This is a non-coding RNA of Cricetulus griseus (Chinese hamster), 529 nucleotides long. The record is from RefSeq and is a predicted model, not a curated record. Lineage: Eukaryota; Metazoa; Chordata; Mammalia; Rodentia; Cricetidae.
GUUUUUGUACAUAGAAUGGGUUACAUCUAAUCCAGUUGUUCUACAAAACAGUCCCAUUGGAACCCUCAAUCAAGCCAGGAUAUUUCCAAGGAUACUGUUUGCUCUCUACAAACUGCAGAUGCCUGUUUGUUUUCUACUGAGAAACAGAAAGGAUGUGGAGCCUUUGGGAGAGGAAAAAGACACUGGAAAUCUUGAGGAAGACUCAGGAAUUGUGUGGAGGAAAGACUCAAGAACAUUGUUCAUGUUACUGUUGGACCCACUCCUAUGUGAAAGUGACUUUCAAUUGCUGAUAAAGGCAAAUGAGUUCAGGUGUCUGUCAGUGAAAGGAUGAUUUGGAAGCGCUCUAAAUACAAGUGUUGCUAUCUGAUCUUCAUCAGUCUUUGCUCUGUGAUCGAUGUGAAAAUAUUGACUCUCAACACUCUAUUCAUCUGACAGCUAAUCCAAGAGAACAGAUGGCUACCCCAAGUAUUGCCCCAGUCUUAAAAUUGUUUCAAACAUGAUACUGAUGAGGCCAAAUAAAAGACUUUGC